GACGAACGCUGGCGGCGUGCUUAACACAUGCAAGUCGAACGGAAAGGCUCCAGCUUGCUGGAGUACUCGAGUGGCGAACGGGUGAGUAACACGUGGGUAAUCUGCCCUGCACUCUGGGAUAAGCCUGGGAAACUGGGUCUAAUACUGGAUAUGACCUUUCUCCUUAUGGGGUUUGGUGGAAAGUUUUUCGGUGUAGGAUGAGCCCGCGGCCUAUCAGCUUGUUGGUGGGGUGAUGGCCUACCAAGGCGACGACGGGUAGCCGGCCUGAGAGGGUGAUCGGCGACAUUGGGACUGAGAUACGGCCCAGACUCCUACGGGAGGCAGCAGUGGGGAAUAUUGCACAAUGGGCGGAAGCCUGAUGCAGCGACGCCGCGGGAGGGAUGACGGCCUUCGGGUUGUAAACCUCUUUCAGCAGGGACGAAGCGUAAGUGACGGUACCUGCAGAAGAAGCACCGGAUAACUAUGUG
Molecule: ribosomal RNA, 467 nt
Filed under: uncultured bacterium
Lineage: Bacteria
Description: partial 16S ribosomal RNA
Rfam family: Bacterial small subunit ribosomal RNA
Source: RNAcentral